Molecule: transfer RNA, 57 nt
Filed under: Argas persicus
Lineage: Eukaryota; Metazoa; Arthropoda; Arachnida; Ixodida; Argasidae
Description: tRNA-Val
Source: RNAcentral
GAGGAUGAAAUCAUUAGAUAUUUCAUUUACGAUGAAAGUUUGCGUUAGCCAUCUUUA